AUGGGUCUUGUAGUUGGCAAUAAUAGUUUUUUCGCCCUACAAUUUCUUUCACGGAGGCGGUCCCUGAUUAUGGUGAGCAAGCUUGCACUUUAGAGAAAUCUUAAGGAGUGAGAAGCCUUAAAUAAUUACUUACUGCAACCACCUGUCUAAUGGCGGGCGGAAGACUCCAAAUUGACAGCUCCUGACCCUCU
This 191-nucleotide non-coding RNA is filed under the name Halobacteriovorax sp. JY17. Its description in RNAcentral is "6S RNA". It matches the Rfam family "6S / SsrS RNA". Rfam says of the family: E. coli 6S RNA was the first non coding RNA to be sequenced, but its function was unknown until recently. It consists of 184 nucleotides that fold into an extended hairpin structure with a large single-stranded internal bulge. The 6S RNA specifically associates with RNA polymerase holoenzyme containing the sigma70 specificity factor. Lineage: Bacteria; Pseudomonadati; Bdellovibrionota; Bacteriovoracia; Bacteriovoracales; Halobacteriovoraceae. The record is from RNAcentral.